Molecule: long non-coding RNA, 958 nt
Organism: Stylophora pistillata
Lineage: Eukaryota; Metazoa; Cnidaria; Anthozoa; Scleractinia; Pocilloporidae
Source: RefSeq, a predicted model, not a curated record
CAAAAUAUUCCUUGAUCAAGAUUCGACAACUCUGUGCGGAUUGUUCUUAAAAUAGCUUUUUCUUGGAAGAUGCAGAAAUUUAAAGCUGUGUUUUUAUUUUUUGUCGCUACCGCGGUGUAUACUUCUUCUAUUGAAGCGUGGCAUAUGGGGAAUAACCAAGUUGGCCAACCUAAAGGUGAUGUCCCAAAAGGUUUUCGAGGAUAUAACCAGCCAAGAAUGUCUGACGAGGACACAAGAUUGAAAGCGAAGCGGCAUCGCUAUGAAGACUGGGACUCAUAUCCGUACGCGGAAGAAAUACAUAGUGACGACUAAGCUCAAGAAAGCAGAAGUAACCAAGUUAUAUUGCAGAAUAGAUUAAUAACUAAUCAUUAUAGGAAAUAAACGAUCGAUUCUCGGUUCAAGAAUAAUCAGUGAACUCAAAUAUUUCAUUUUUUUUGCAAGAACUGUGAAAGGAAAUGCUCUUGAAGACAGGAGCAUUCCCAAAUCCCUGUUUAUUAAGAGCUGUGCACAAAAUAAUUUUGAAACGAGAUCUUAGAGAACUGAACUGACUAAAGCGUGAAAUGUGCGGAGGUCGCCUUCCCUUUUUUAAUUUUCAAGGUUUAUGCGUUUACGUUGAACUUCGCAUAGGGAUCUGUGUAAACAUUUAUCACUAUUUAUUCAAAAUAAUCUUUUCUUUCUCGUAAUUUGUUUUGUUUGUUCGUACCUUCUUUAUCUGUUUGCUGUGGGAACAACUAUCCUCGACGGGAUGACAGGAAGUAAACCGUUCGUUGCUCAUUUCCGGUUCCGGUUUGUUUAAUGUAUUCCUGUAGCUCUUUUCACGUAAAAAAAAUGAACAAAAGGCAUUAACGGUAAGCAGAAAAAUAAAGAAUUUGAUAGUGGGAUUUUUCUCCUGUUUAACGUGCUUUUCCUUUUGAACGCACAAAUUUAAGAUUUAAUAAAGCAACACGACUUGAACUAA